RNAcentral lists this ribosomal RNA (253 nucleotides) under uncultured bacterium. RNAcentral describes it as "partial 16S ribosomal RNA". It matches the Rfam family "Bacterial small subunit ribosomal RNA", at positions 524 to 776 of the family's 1533-position model. The record is from RNAcentral.
UACGGAGGGAGCUAGCGUUAUUCGGAAUUACUGGGCGUAAAGCGCACGUAGGCGGCUUUGUAAGUUAGAGGUGAAAGCCUGGAGCUCAACUCCAGAAUUGCCUUUAAGACUGCAUCGCUUGAAUCCAGGAGAGGUGAGUGGAAUUCCGAGUGUAGAGGUGAAAUUCGUAGAUAUUAGGAAGAACACCGGUGGCGAAGGCGGCCCACUGGUCCGGUACUGACGCUGAGGUGCGAAAGCGUGGGGAGCAAACAGG